This 408-nucleotide ribosomal RNA is filed under the name uncultured bacterium. Its description in RNAcentral is "partial 16S ribosomal RNA". It matches the Rfam family "Bacterial small subunit ribosomal RNA", at positions 28 to 526 of the family's 1533-position model. The record is from RNAcentral.
GACGAACGCUGGCGGCGUGCUUAACACAUGCAAGUCGAACGAAGUGGCGAACGGGUGAGUAACGCGUAAUCAACCUGCCCUUCAGAGGGGGACACCAGUUGGAACCGACUGCUAAUACCGCAUACUGAAGGAGGGGAUUGCGUCUGAGUAGCUAGUUGGAGGGGUAACGGCCCACCAAGGCGAUGAUCAGUAGCCGGUCUGGGAGGAUGAACGGCCACAUUGGGAAUGAGACACGGGCCAGACUCCUACGGGAGGCAGCAGUGGGGAAACUUCCGCCAUGGAGGAAAGGCUGAAGGAGCAACGCCGCGGGAGUGGUGACGGCCUUCGGGGUGGAAAGGUCUGUUAAUCGGGACGCGGUACCGGAAUAGAAAGCCACGGCUAACUACGUGCCAGCAGCCGCGGUAAUAC